ACAUACUCCUCUGCCGUGACAGGCCGCCAUUGAACAUUUUCUUCAGUGUACAGACGGCGACAUGCAGGACAACGGCCAUUUAGAUCUUCUUUGAUAUGGUGCCAGCAAAAUCUACAAACUCUGUAUCCGCAUUGGCAUGGUUUGAAGUUUUUAUCAGAGAUAUCAAUUUCUUCCAUACAUAGAGGACUGUUGCAAUUGUCAGUUAAUUUUGAUACUAAUCGGCUAGUAAAACAUACCAACACAUGUCAUCCUCAUCUUCUGAAGAAUAUAUCUCUUGCGUUUUUAACAUUUU
Molecule: non-coding RNA, 292 nt
Organism: Schizosaccharomyces pombe (fission yeast)
Lineage: Eukaryota; Fungi; Ascomycota; Schizosaccharomycetes; Schizosaccharomycetales; Schizosaccharomycetaceae
Source: the annotation of a GenBank genome assembly